Molecule: non-coding RNA, 136 nt
Organism: Ceratotherium simum simum (southern white rhinoceros)
Lineage: Eukaryota; Metazoa; Chordata; Mammalia; Perissodactyla; Rhinocerotidae
Source: RefSeq, a predicted model, not a curated record
AUUACAACAUAGGUGAAACUUGAAGACAUUAUGCUAAGUGAAAUAAGGCAGACAAAAAAGGACCAAUAUUGUAUGAGUCCACGUAUAUGAGGUACCUAGAAUAGGGAAAUUCAUAGAGACAGAAAUAAUAAUAGCA